This 61-nucleotide transfer RNA is filed under the name Opisthorchis felineus. RNAcentral describes it as "tRNA-Ser". The record is from RNAcentral. Lineage: Eukaryota; Metazoa; Platyhelminthes; Trematoda; Opisthorchiida; Opisthorchiidae.
GGGGGCUAUAGUAUUAUCGCUGCUAACGAUGGUUUGAAUUCCGUGUGGUGUUCGGUCUCCU